AUUGAACGCUGGCGGCAGGCCUAACACAUGCAAGUCGAACGAGUGGCGGACGGGUGUGUAAUGUCGGGGAAAGUGCGUGGUGGAGGGGGAUAAAUAGUGGAAACGGUCGCUAAUACCGCAAACUAUCGGAUGUGCCGAGAGGGGAUUCGCUAGGAGGUGGGGUAACGGCUCACCUAGGCGACGAUCCCUAGCUGGUCUGAGAGGAUUAACAGCCACACUGGAACUGAGACACGGUCCAGACUCCUACGGGAGGCAGCAGUGGGGAAUAUUGCACAAUGGGCGCAAGCCUGAUGCAGCCAUGCCGCGUGUAUGAAGAAGGCCUUCGGGUUGUAAAGUACUUUCAGCGGGGAGGCGUUACCCGCAGAAGAAGCACCGGCUAACUCCGUGCCAGCAGCCGCGGUAAUAC
Molecule: ribosomal RNA, 406 nt
Filed under: uncultured bacterium
Lineage: Bacteria
Description: partial 16S ribosomal RNA
Rfam family: Bacterial small subunit ribosomal RNA
Source: RNAcentral